GCAAACUUGGUCAUUUAGAGGAAGUAAAAGUCGUAACAAGGUUUCCGUAGGUGAACCUGCGGAAGGAUCAUUAUUGAAACAAAAUCAAAUAGACUGCUGCUGGUUUCCUUUCAGAAGCAUGUGCACGUCUGUUUUAUUUUUCAAUUCUCCUGUGCACUAUCGGUGGAUCCUUUUCACCACAACAAAACAGACAAUUAUCUUGCUUCAAAGAAUUUUUAUUUCUUUGGUCAGAGAGGCCUGCCGUAAACCUUUUGUUUAUAGCUCUUCUUGUGAAUUGUUCUUUUUUUGUUUUGGAAAGAUCUUGCCGUUUUAUACCAUGAACACUGUUGUAUCAGAAUGUGUUGUUAAAAUGAUAAUCAUUAUAACUUUCAACAACGGAUCUCUUGGCUCUCGCAUCGAUGAAGAACGCAGC
RNAcentral lists this unclassified non-coding RNA (412 nucleotides) under uncultured fungus. RNAcentral's name for it is "partial contains small subunit ribosomal RNA, internal transcribed spacer 1, and 5.8S ribosomal RNA". The stretch from base 1 to 73 matches the Rfam family "Eukaryotic small subunit ribosomal RNA", at positions 1759 to 1831 of the family's 1831-position model. Lineage: Eukaryota; Fungi. The record is from RNAcentral.